CAUCAGAGAUGGUGCCCCCCUUGUGGUCGGUAUACAGGUGGUGCAUGGCUGUCGUCAGCUCGUGUCGUGAGAUGUUGGGUUAAGUCCCGCAACGAGCGCAACCCUUGUUCUGUGUUGCCAGCAUGCCCUUCGGGGUGAUGGGGACUCACAGGAGACUGCCGGGGUCAACUCGGAGGAAGGUGGGGACGACGUCAAGUCAUCAUGCCCCUUAUGUCUUGGGCUGCACACGUGCUACAAUGGCCGGUACAAUGAGCU
RNAcentral lists this ribosomal RNA (255 nucleotides) under Streptomyces griseus. RNAcentral's name for it is "partial 16S ribosomal RNA". It matches the Rfam family "Bacterial small subunit ribosomal RNA", at positions 998 to 1248 of the family's 1533-position model. The record is from RNAcentral. Lineage: Bacteria; Bacillati; Actinomycetota; Actinomycetes; Kitasatosporales; Streptomycetaceae.